GGGCGUGUAGCUCAUCUGGUCAGAGCGUCGCAUUGACAUUGCGGAGGUAACAGGUUCGAUCCCUGUCACGCCCA
Molecule: transfer RNA, 74 nt
Filed under: bacterium
Lineage: Bacteria
Also listed under: 1 other name
Description: tRNA-Val
Rfam family: tRNA
About the family: Transfer RNA (tRNA) molecules are approximately 80 nucleotides in length. Their secondary structure includes four short double-helical elements and three loops (D, anti-codon, and T loops). Further hydrogen bonds mediate the characteristic L-shaped molecular structure. tRNAs have two regions of fundamental functional importance: the anti-codon, which is responsible for specific mRNA codon recognition, and the 3' end, to which the tRNAs corresponding amino acid is attached (by aminoacyl-tRNA synthetases). tRNAs cope with the degeneracy of the genetic code in two manners: having more than one tRNA (with a specific anti-codon) for a particular amino acid; and 'wobble' base-pairing, i.e. permitting non-standard base-pairing at the 3rd anti-codon position.
Source: RNAcentral